RNAcentral lists this ribosomal RNA (292 nucleotides) under uncultured bacterium. RNAcentral's name for it is "partial 16S ribosomal RNA". It matches the Rfam family "Archaeal small subunit ribosomal RNA", at positions 455 to 747 of the family's 1478-position model. The record is from RNAcentral.
GUGCAGCCGCCGCGGUAAUACCGGCAGCCCGAGUGGUGGCCGAUAUUAUUGGGCCUAAAGCGUCCGUAGCUGGCCGAACAAGUCCGUCGGGAAAUCCACGUGCUUAACACGUGGGCGACCGGCGGAAACUGUUCGGCUUGGGGCCGGAGGACCCGAGGGGUACGUCCGGGGUAGGAGUGAAAUCCUGUAAUCCCGCACGGACCACCGAUGGCGAAAGCACCUCGAGAAGACGGCUCCGACGGUGAGGGACGAAAGCCAGGGUCUCGAACCGGAUUAGAUACCCGGGUAGUCC